AACGAACGCUGGCGGCAGGCUUAACACAUGCAAGUCGAACGGUUGUAGCAAUACAGCAGUGGCAGACGGGUGAGUAACACGUGGGAACCUUCCUAGAGGUACGGAACAACUCAGGGAAACUUGAGCUAAUACCGUAUACGCUCGUGAGAGGAAAGAUUUAUCGCCUUUAGACGGGCCCGCGUCGGAUUAGGUAGUUGGUGGGGUAACGGCCUACCAAGCCUACGAUCCGUAGCUGAUCUGAGAGGAUGAUCAGCCACACUGGGACUGAGACACGGCCCAGACUCCUACGGGAGGCAGCAGUGGGGAAGUCUUGGACAAUGGGCGGCAAGCCUGAUCCAGCCAUGCCGCGUGAGUGAAGAAGGCCUUAGGGUUGUAAAGCUCUUUUACCUAGGGACGGAUAAUAGACGGUACCUGGAGAAUAAGACCCCGGCAAACUUCGUGCCAGCAGCCGCGGUAAGGCACGACUGU
This 468-nucleotide ribosomal RNA is filed under the name uncultured bacterium. Its description in RNAcentral is "bacterial SSU rRNA". It matches the Rfam family "Bacterial small subunit ribosomal RNA", at positions 29 to 532 of the family's 1533-position model. The record is from RNAcentral.